RNAcentral lists this long non-coding RNA (338 nucleotides) under Mytilus galloprovincialis (Mediterranean mussel). The record is from RNAcentral. Lineage: Eukaryota; Metazoa; Mollusca; Bivalvia; Mytilida; Mytilidae.
ACAUGUUUACUAGUCUAUUCUAAAUAUCGGCAUACAUGUCUGUGGUGUGUUUGAGAAAAUAAUAGUUUCUGGAAAUCUAGAAUUUAUUAAAUUUUGAACCAUGAUAAAAACGAUGAAUGUUAAGUAUACUAGGUUACUCUUUGCACCAUACUAACACCCUUUACAAAUAUAGAUAGGCACUAUAAUUAAAGCUAGUUUAUAUGUGGAAAAGUCAAGAAAAAACAAGAUAUAUUUUUAGUAAAUUUUCAAGAUAACAUUAGGCAUUAUAAAAUUACAAAAUAACAUUUUCCGAAACAUCGUGUCAGUAUAAGAAUAUGACUUGUCAGUUAAAUAAAACA